RNAcentral lists this ribosomal RNA (496 nucleotides) under uncultured bacterium. RNAcentral describes it as "partial 16S ribosomal RNA". It matches the Rfam family "Bacterial small subunit ribosomal RNA", at positions 28 to 506 of the family's 1533-position model. The record is from RNAcentral.
GAUGAGCGCUGGCGGCGUGCCUAAUACAUGCAAGUCGAGCGAACAGACGAGGAGCUUGCUCCUCUGACGUUAGCGGCGGACGGGUGAGUAACACGUGGAUAACCUACCUAUAAGACUGGGAUAACUUCGGGAAACCGGAGCUAAUACCGGAUAAUAUAUUGAACCGCAUGGUUCAAUAGUGAAAGGCGGUUUUGCUGUCACUUAUAGAUGGAUCCGCGCCGCAUUAGCUAGUUGGUAAGGUAACGGCUUACCAAGGCAACGAUGCGUAGCCGACCUGAGAGGGUGAUCGGCCACACUGGAACUGAGACACGGUCCAGACUCCUACGGGAGGCAGCAGUAGGGAAUCUUCCGCAAUGGGCGAAAGCCUGACGGAGCAACGCCGCGUGAGUGAUGAAGGUCUUCGGAUCGUAAAACGCUGUUAUUAGGGAAGAACAAAUGUGUAAGUAACUAUGCACGUCUUGACGGUACCUAAUCAGAAAACCACGGCUAACUACGU